RNAcentral lists this ribosomal RNA (274 nucleotides) under uncultured bacterium. RNAcentral's name for it is "partial 16S ribosomal RNA". It matches the Rfam family "Bacterial small subunit ribosomal RNA", at positions 523 to 796 of the family's 1533-position model. The record is from RNAcentral.
AUACGGAAGGGGCAAGCGUUGUUCGGAAUCAUUGGGCGUAAAGGGCGCGUAGGCGGUCUCGUAUGUCUGCUGUGAAAGCGCACGGCUUAACCGUGCAGGGUCGGUGGAAACUGCGAGACUUGAGGCUGGGAGGGGCUGGUGGAAUUCCCUGUGUAGCGGUGAAAUGCGUAGAUAUGGGGGAGAACACUCGUGGCGAAGGCGGCCAGCUGGACCAGUCCUGACGCUGAGGCGCGAUAGCGUGGGGAGCAAACAGGAUUAGAUACCCCGGUAGUCC